This is a long non-coding RNA of Callithrix jacchus (white-tufted-ear marmoset), 22935 nucleotides long. RefSeq lists it as uncharacterized. The record is from RefSeq and is a predicted model, not a curated record. Lineage: Eukaryota; Metazoa; Chordata; Mammalia; Primates; Cebidae.
UGCGUCCUCCCCCACGGCCCCCUUUUAAUUAGUACCACCUGGAUCUAGAAAUCUCUUAUCAGUGUCUGGUGUCACAAUAGAGAGCUUUUUAAAGCUGCUUCUGCACCUUAGGGUGUCACUACCGAGUGCCCUGGAGCUCAGGGCUGAGCUGAGCCAAGCCCCCUUACUGCUGAGCCUCCCUGUCUGCUGCAGCUGCCGGGGCCGGUGGGCUGCGGGAAGAGAGCUCCCAGGCUGAAGGCACAGGCUCGAGAGUUUAGCAUCCUUGGGGACCCCACCUUUCCUUACCUUAGGUGAAUUGCACCAUGACCCUGUCCUUAGUUUUCCCAAGAGGAUCUAAAAUAUUCCAGAAUCCCAGGGUUUGAACUGGUGUCAUCUAAGGAGCUCAAGCACUCACUCGUAUGGUAAGUCCAGCUCUCUUGGCCACCCGGGACUGGGGGGAGAAGGAUUGAGGGAGAAGCGCCUGCCCUGACUGCGAAUAGUAUAGGGUUUCUUUUGGGGGUAAUGGAAAUGUUCUAGAAUUAGAUUGCGGUGAUGGUUGCAUAACAUAGCAAGAAUACUAAAAGCUACCAAAUUAUAUGCUUUAAAAUGGUGCAUUUAAUGUUAUGGGGAUGACAUUUCAAUAAAAAGAAAAUAGGUAAAAAGAAAGAAAGCAAACAUCUGCCUAGGUUAAGAGCAACAGGUUUUGAGAAUAACGCUUCCCUUCCAUCUAUGUUCACAGCAGAUGGGCUCAGGAGACCAGCAUACUCACAACGCCUCACUUAGACCUCUGUUGCCCAGACCUUACACUGCAGGUCAAAGCUAUCACUGUGGACCCUUUGGGAAACCAGCAUGUCCCCUCUAUGACACAGAGUCACUUUUGCAUCCUGAUGUACUUUGGGGUCCCAGGCCUGGAAACUGAUUUCAUAUAUGAUGUGGCAUAUAUUGGUGGCUGCCUACCCAAUCCCCAGUCCCCUGUUCUUCCUUACUAAAUAGUACCCUUGCUUUUAUUCUAGGCAUCAAUGCACUUAGCUAAACGACUACAUUUCCCAUUGGUCAGGGGUUGCCAAUGAGCAUGAAGCUGCAGGCCCUUGGGUGGGGCUUCCGGGAAAGCUCUUUUAAAGGGGGUCAACUCACUAAAGGCCUCUCUCUCUUCUUUGCCCUCCUUCCUGUCUGGGACACAAAGGUGAUGGCGGGAGCUCUAGCAGCUAUCUUGGAUCAUGAGAUGAGACAACUUGGAGGAUGGAAGCCAUGGUUGAGGAAGAGAAAGAGCAAGCGAAGUCACUUACCUUCUCUGGACUUUUCUUUCCUCAUUCACCAGAUUGAAGAGUUGAACCCAAUGACCUGGAUGUUCUUGGUGAUGGAAGUUCACUCCUGCACACACCAGCUUGGCAUCUUCUUUACAAUAGAAGCCCAACCGGGGAGGCUGCACACGUUAGAAUCCAAUCUGUACUGACAGGUCUUGAAUGCUUUAGGUCACACUGGCUGGCCAUUAAGGGUUGUGAUGAAAAAUCCCAGGAAGCUGAAGAGUGAACAUGAUCAUAAUCUCUAAAAUGAUAAAGCAAUAAGAGGCUGGGAGAUGCAUCCAAAGUCUCUGCCUGGGCCAGAGGUCAUUCAAACCCAGCUUUGUCCUGGAAGCACAUUCUUUCCACUCACCACCCAGAACACCAUCUUCCUCUCUCUCUCAAAAUUUCCAAGACUGGAGAGGAGGACCGCCAGCCAGAUAGACUUGCUCUGAGGUACCAUGACUUUUGCAUGGGGUGACCACAGCUGAGGCAUUUUAGGGUGAAAGGCAGCACUAUUAAUAAUUAUCCUGGGGUGGCAGGCAUGAACCAGGAAUACUGUACAGAGGGUCACUUCACCCACAGAUGGCCAAAUAACUGGAACCCAAGUAUUUUGUGCUUUUCUGCAAAAUCAUGCCUUAUUUUUUAAACUUCCUACCUCUUUGAGCAAAACCAACAAAUGCUAUCAGAGCCACAAGGAUAUGAGCAACCCACAGCUCCCCAGGAGAAGGCAUGAGGGCAUCUAUGUGCAACAUGCAACUGCUCGGCUGGCUCCUGGAACCUGGCCCAUUCCACCUGAACUGAAGAUAAAUCUCACUGAUGACCACCUGAAGGAUGAGCUGAAUGGGAGACCGAGUGGACACUGGAGCCUCUGGAAAGACGUUGGUUGGAGAGCACCGUCAUGACCCCCUGUCCUUUCCUCUCUGCUGGGAUCAUUGACCAGUAAGACAAACGUGGCUCCCUGUUGGAGGCUGGAGAGGGAUCCCAAACACAUCUGGAGCUUUGAGCGUGAGAGGGACGGGAUUUUACCAUGUUUGCCCAGGCUGGUUUCAAACUCAUGAGCUCAAGGUUACAGGCGUGAGCCACUGUGCCCAGCCUGCUCUGCAAUGUGGAUCCACAUGUGAGUCUUCCCUGAGAACAACUGGUAGCCAGUGGUAUUUAGCCUUCUUGAUCUCGAUUCAAGAUUGAUGAAAAUAAUGAAAAUUGUGACUCUAUGCAGAUUGUACCCACUGGGUACCUAGUAUAAGACAUUUUAACACUCAAGUACCCUGUCCAAGAGAAAGCACCGCUCAAGAGUUUUUGAAAGCAGGAAUGAAACAGGAACAGUUCUUCGUGGUGCUGAUAAUACCAUAAACUGUUUCUGAGGCUCCAGGUGCUUUGCCCGCUGGUGUUAGCCCUGUGUUUAUUGUUUUUAGAGCUGGAACCUAUUGCCUCAGGGCUGAGUGACCGUGAAUUUUCAUAUCGAGGAUAAGAUACCAACUUCCAACAGAACACUGGUGGAAAGUUUGUCUUUUUUCUAACAUUGGACGAUUUCCUUCUCAGGGAGAAAGGAAUCAAUGAUGUAUUAUUUGGCAUAUUUUAAAAUUACCUCCAGGGGCUGCAAUGGAGCGUGAACAGCUACUUUCCAAAGAGUAGAUUAGGAAUCCAUUGAGCACCGGUGCCAAGCCCAGUCAUGCCUCCAACUCUUCAGUGUGAUGUGCUUAUUGACUUAGCAUCUGACAGAGCUGAAAGAGCCUUCAGUGAGUCAUUCUGCACGAUCUCCGUGUCCCUGUUCAACCCAAAUAUCUGGCACUCUCCGACAGAGCCAACCUCUUGCUGCCCUGCUCAACAACUCACAACCGAGGCUGAGCAAUCCCAAGCUCUGCAGUUCCAAGGCUGAGAAGCAGGAGAGCCAAUGGUGCAAGUUUCACUCCAAGUUCCACGUCAGGAAAUCAGUGUUCCAGCUCCAAGGCCAUCAGCUUACAGGUCACUAGACCUUGAGAAGGCACAUUUGGACCUGCCAUCCUGGACUUUGAGCCGGAUGUGGCAACUGGAUCAGAGAACAAAUACGCCUUGGCUUCUGCUUCUGAGGACCUAUCUCUUUUCCAAAGCUGUUCAUUGUAUAAACAUCCUUGGAAAGAUACUCUGGAACAAAGACAGUGAUAACCUCUGCUCUAAGAUGUGCACAAAGGUGAGAAACCCAUGGAAAUUCUCUCCCAAUAUCAGACUGUAUUCUUAGUUACAAGUAAUAGAAAUGGACUCUGGAUGGUUUAAGCGAAAGGAACUUGUUAAACCAAUGUAAGAUAUAACCUCUUCAGAGAACUACAUAUAUGGCAAUAUCUAGUUAGCCUGGGGAGGCUCAUAGGGAAAGACCUAUCAAUUCUACUCCUAGGAAUAUACCAUCUAGGAACCCUGGCAUGCAAAGACCAGAAAAAGACGUAUCAGAGGGUCUGCAGCAGUAUUAUUUAUAUUAACAAAACAUUAGAAAUAACUCAAACGUCUGGUUAUAAGGGAAUGUACAAAUCGUGAUACAGUCUUUCAGUGGAAUUCUAUUAGAGUCUCGGCAGUAAGAAUGAGUGAACUAAUAGCCACAUGCAUCAUCCUGGAAUAAUUAAUAAUCAUAGUGUUGAGUGAGAAAAAGCCAGCUUCAGAAGGAUACAUAGAGUAUGAUACCAUUCAUAUGAAGUUUAAGGAUAUACAGGAUGGCCCGGCGCUGCAGCUCACGCCUGUAAUCCCAGCUUUUAGCAAGGCAGAGGCGGGAGGAUAGCUUGAGCCCAGGAGUCUGAGACCUGCCUGGGCAAUAUAGCAAGACCCUAUUCAAAAAGAAAAAAUAAAGAAUAUACAGGAUGAUGCCAUGUCAUGCUCAGGGUUCCCUAAUAUGUAGUAAAGUAUUAAAGAUGCAUGAAAAUGGGAAUAUCAAUUCCAAGCAGUAUGUUGUCUCUCUAUGGGGAGGCAAGCAGGAUUUAACUAAUUUAUCCAAGUUUCACAUUUAAGUCUUAUUAUUGAUUAAAAUUCUCUAAGAAAUAAUGUUGAUUAGCUUAGUAGAAGGGUAGAGACAUGCAGACCUGAGUUCAGAGGCCACUGAGCCAGGACCAAGGGAUAUAAUCCCAGCACAUUCCAAUACAGAGUGGGUCUGGGGAGGACACAGCUGUUGUCCUGCUGAAGACUACACCCUCGGUACCAGCACCAGGAGCCCUGGCUCUGGACAGGAGUUGCCGCCCUAGCACUUCACCACUCUUCCACCAGGGGCUCAAAUAUCAUUGAGAAUCAUCUGUGGUUCUUGCUUCCUUGCCUCACUCACACCUGUUUCAAAGUCAAGGCCAUGUGAUCAUGCUCUAGCGGCAGGAGGACCGGAAAGGUCACCAGCUGGCGUUUUUGGCCCCUGUAGUGGGAGGUAGCCUCUGCCUCUCACUAAAAUUCAUAAGAUUGGGAGCACCUCAAACGUUGGAAGGAGGUUCAGAGGCUGGGUGCUCCAAAGAGUGGCAGUGUUCCUGACAAAGACCAACCCAUGUGGUCAGGUGGAGUGUGUGAAGAAAUCAUCCUAGGAAACAGGAAUAGAAGAAGUGAAAACAUUGAGGUGGUGUUUUUCUAGAUUGUAGGAAGAAAACAGUGUGAGGUAAAAUUUCAUAAACUGAACUUUACCUGGUUACGAGGAGUACGGAAAUGUCAAUCCCUCUGUCCAUGGUUGUUUUCUAAUGAGUUAUUUUUUAAAUUAAACUGAAGCGAUCUCCUUUGUUAGUGUGUAAGCUCUUCAAAGUCUAGGACCAUUCCUUACUUUGGAGAGAUGCCAUAUUUGCUCUGGGAAGCCAAGGGCAUUCAGGGCAGGGGGAACUGGGCAUGAAUCCUGAGUCUGCUGCUGCUUAGCUGAAUGGCAGUGGCUCCAUUAGACAGCCAUUCUCAGUCUUGGCAUGUUUGAAGCCAUCCCUGUACACUUUAUAAAAUUAGUCAUGGAAGAAGGAAGGGGAAGAAACUAAGAUAAAUACUGAAUGUGCUUGCUUGCAGCACACGCAGUAUUAAUCAUGAGGGCAGCCUGCUCUCUGACCUGCUUCCUCCUAGCUGUUUGGUGCCUGUUGCCUCAGAAUCACGUAGACCCUGCAAGAUUAUAGUUCCCCUUAACUGCUCUAUAGAUAACAGCCUGAAUGUUAUAAAGUGUUACAUUUUCCAUUUGAGAUAUUCUUUCAGGUUCUGCAUACCAAUGAAGCUACUGACGUCAGCUGGUCUGAAGGACCUCACAGGAGCUGACUCACCACAGAAUGCAGUUUCCACAUUCUGAUGAUUUCAUCCUUUCUCCUCUAACCAAUCAAUGACCUCAAUUUUCCAGCCCCUUGCCCUCCAUGGUCCCUUAAAUAACUCCAGCCUAGAGCUCCUCAGGGUGAUGGAUUUGAGGGCCUCCUUCCAUCUCCUUGCUCGGAGCCCUGUGAUCAUUAAACUCUUUCUCUGCUGCAAACUCUGCUGUCUCAGUGUAAUUGGUAUGUUACUGUGCAAUGGGCAUACCAACCUGUUGGUCCUGUAACAUACUCAUGAGCAAAAUGGAGCUUGCAUCCACUUCUCUGUGUGGUAAAGAUGAAAUUUAACAUGAAUAAAAUGAUGUUCCAUAGAUGUUCAGUAAAUAUUUCCUCCCUUCCCUUGGCCUUAGGCCCUUUCUGUUUCUCUUCAGGAUGUAGCACUGGGCUUAGAAAGCCCUUGGCUGGUGUUUGCUGAAUGAACUUGUUUUCAUCAUAACAUUUGUAGACAUGCUUCUUCCCUUUCUGUUUAUAGCUGCCAUGUGUGAGCUUAUCUAUAGCCCCUUUGCCAGCUUGGUAUAAUUCCAUUUUUCAUGGGCAGCCUUCAGAAAAUUCUUAUGUGCCAAUAUGACUUCCCUGUUGCUACUUUUCUUCAUUCACUAAACAAUUCAUUUAACAAAUGGAAAGACCAGAUAUGUGCUUGGCUCCAGUGGUAAAUGACAUGGAUUUCACUGCCAUGAAACUCGCAGCUACAAUCAGAGGGACAGGCUUGACAAUCUGCCCCCGCCCCGAAUGGUGAACUCAGACAAUGCACAGCUCUCACAGCCACCUAACCCAGCAGUUCAACAUAUGCAAUUUUAUUCUGCUGUUAUAAUAUAUAAUUCUCAGGGUUUUCUAAAACAAAACAAAACAAAACAAAAAGAGAAGUUUUCAGUUAAUUACUGUUUAAUUAUCAAUAUUUUGAGAAAAUGUCAUUCCUAUAUAUAUCUCCCAAUAUGCCCAAAGCACAGCUUUUAUUUACUUUUAUUUGCCAAGUCUCAGUGGUCUUUUGGGUAGGAAUUAGCCAGGUCCCAUUUUAAAUUUCCUGCUUCAUGUAGUUUCGAAAAGCUCUACUUCCAGUUUUAUCUCUACCUCUUCCCACUGAGAAGGAUCAUGACUACAACAGCUGCCACUGAGCACUGAUUAUGAAGACGGCAGUGAAAUUACUGUAUCAACAGUCUCAUUAAUCCAAUCACUCGAGAUAAACCCUGGUGGAAAUUAACAGUGGCUGUAAUGUAGCAGGGGACUGGCCCACUGGAAGCACAGGACGGACUGCUGAGCCCAUCUGGCUCCAAAUUCUGAUGUUCAAUCCUGCGGAGGAAGGGAGGGAAGAUGGGAAGGCACAGACUCUGCUUCCAGCAAGGCUGUUGAAAACAGGUCUUCGAGGAAUCACCACGCUGUCUUCCACAAUGGUUGAAGUUAUUUGCGAUCUGCUUGGAUUUUAAGAAAAGAGAGUAGCCAUCCAAGACAGGAAGAGACUGUGUGGACAGCAACAGCAAAGGGCUUGGAGGAGGAAGAAGAGAAGAACAAAUGACAGAGAAAGCACGGAAGGAAAGAGACCCAGACACAGUCAGUCAGCCAAUCCCCUGCUACAUUACAGCCACUAACAAGGAUUGUUUGUGCUGUGGCUGGGUUGUGAGAACCUAGGAUGAGUUUCUGCAACCAUUUCUGUGAAAUGAUGUGUUUCUGUGAAAAUCCUUCCUCCAUGUACAUGAAUUCAUUGUGAAGACCCUUGAGAGAGGGAUUCUUAGCAACUCAGGAGAGCUUUAGAGCAGGUAUUGUCAAGCUGGGAAAAGAGUGAGAUGCUCCCAGCAAGGGAUCUCUGUAUUCAUCAGCACUACAGAGCUUAGUUGUGGAAAAGAAAAUCAUCCCCCCAAAUAUGAGGAAAUACCUGGCAAUUACAGAGAAAAAUAUCUCUAAGGCUAUUCCAUAUUCCUUACCUUUAGGGUUGGCUCCAUGCCUGACAAUUGCUGUUGAGACCUUCCAGACUGUUCUGUGUACAGGCUCACCAGGUAGGAUGGGAAGAAAAUGAAUGGGAAAAAACAUCAUUACCUACCUGUAGCAAAUCAGCCUGCUCGUCCUCAAGGGAACAAAUUGUGUAAGAUUCAUUUGCAUUUGUGAGCCUCGGGCUCUCUAUCUAUGCUUUUGCACAGGGGAUGUUUAGCUUACUGGGGACAUACAGUGGAUGAGGUUAUAUCUUGGAGAUCCUCGCCUGCAGUCUCCCCUCCAAAGACGAUCUCUUCAAUGAAUGGCAUACUUGAAGCCACCCAAAAUUUUGAGUAAUUGUUUGAGGUAUUUUAUUUUAUUUAAAUUUUAUUUUAAGUUCAGGCGUGCAUGUGCAGGUUUGUUAUAUAGGUAAACUUGUGUCAUGGAGUUUGUUGUACAGAUAAUUUCGUCACCCAGGUAUUAAGCCUAGUACCCAUUAGUUAUUUUUCUGGAUCCUCUCCCUCCUCCCACCCUCUUCCCUCCGACAGGCUCAGUGUGUGUUGUUCCCCUCUAUGUGUUCAUGUGUUAUCAGCAUUUAGCUCUUACUUAUCAGUGAGAAUAUCAGGUAUUUGGUUUUCUGUUCUUGGCUCAGUUUGCUAAAAAUAAUGCGCUCUAGCUCCAUCCAUGUUGCUGCAAAGAACACAAUCUUGUUCUUUUUCAUGGCUGCAUAGUAUUCCAGGGUGUAUAUGUACCACAUUUUCUUUAUCCAGUCUCUUAUUGGUGGGCAUUUAGAUUGAUUCCACGUUUUGCUAUUCUGAAUAGUGCUGCAGUGAACAUAUGUAUGCACGUGUCUUAAAGGAAUGAUUUAUAUUCCUUUGGGUACAUAUCCAGUAAUGGGAUUGCUGGGUGGAAUGGUAUUUCUGUUUUUAGGUCUUUGAGGAAUCACCACGCUGUCUUCCACAAUGGCUGAAGUAAUUUGCAAUCUGCUUGGAUUAUUUUGAGACAAAGGACCUCUGCCGGAGGUUGCGUUGUCUGUUGGGUUUGGGGUGUUCGUUGCAUUUGUCUCUGCAUGUCUGUGUCCAUUCUCUGUCUUUGGCUGACUUGCUGUGUCCGGGUCUCUUUCCUUCCACACCUUCUCUGUCAUUUGUUCUUCUCCUCUUCUUCCUCCUUGAAGCCCUUUGCUGCCACUGUCCGCACAAUCUCUUCCUGUCUUGGAUGGCUACUCUCUUUUCUCUCUUUUUCUUGGGUUCUGUCUCUUUCUCUCCUUCUCCGAUGUUUUCUGGUACUUAUUGAUUGUGGACCAACAGGACCUCUCUCUCUGUUGAAAUAUUUGGUCGCUUGGACUCAAUCUAUGACUUCUUCUGCAUUUUUCUGCAGAAUGCACUUUGUCUUGAGUAGAGCUUGCUGGGAGGAAGUGAUGGGGAGUGAACAUCAUUUUCUUCUGCAUGCGGCACGGUUCUCUCCCUUCUGCCAGACACCUAGAGGGAGACGAGGCUGGGAUUAUGCCGAAUUAUCUUUGCCUUUGAGAUGAUAUGGGCUGUGGUUGAGCGAGUUACUUUCAGGGAAACAAAUCUCAAGAAGGGGGCACAAUAUGACUUUGCAGUUCAGACACAGUUAUCCUUUGGGAUUUCAGAGAGCAGUUUACUAGAGGGAAAAAUCCUCAUUUCAGGCAGUUAUGGCUUUUCAUUAUCACAGGUCCCUGCAGAUGGCAUCAAAAGAAAAAUAAACAACAGGAAAAAAUGGUUCCCUUUCUCCUAAGGUCUGUGUGGCCCCUUGUCUGCCUGUACUCGCCACGCUGGGAUUGUGGAAAGCGGACUGAAUUUACCUAAGCUUGUGGAACUAAUCUGCACCUCUAAACCAACAAAGGCACGGCCCAAGGCAUCAAAUAGUGAAACGGUGGGGUGGUCAGGCUGUUUGAAGUCAGCAGACAGCGCGAGUUCAAGGUAGCCAGGAAGAGUUCCAGCUUCUUAUCUGGGUGUCAAAACAUUUUUAAUUUUCUUGGUUAGUGAUGAUAAGCACUGUGGACUCAGGCUCAGGAGGUUUGGCUGCUAGUUCACAACUAGGUCUGUUUCUCUGAUUUUUGUUUGUUUUAUUUUGUUUUGUUUUGAGACUCCAUUACCCAGGCUGGAGUGCAGUGGCAUGAUCACGGCUCACUGCGGCAUUGACCCCCUGGGCUCAAGCAGUCCUUUUGCCUCAGCCGCCCAGGUAUCUGGGACUACAGGUGUGUACCACAUAACCUGGCUGACUUUUACACUUUUUGCAGAGACAGGGGUCUUGCUUUGUUGACCAGGCUGCUCUUGAACUCCUGGCCUCAAGUGAUCCUUCUGUGUUUGCUCUAGCUAAGUGUUAAUGCCAGAGUUAAUCUACAUUAUGAGUACAUCUAUAUGAUGCAAAUACACACCCUCCCACCCAUGUGUGCAUUGUGUAGAUGUGAGUGUAGAUGCAGCCUAUCUAGAGUGUAGACAGAUUCCCCCUUCCCUUUGGAGGUGACCUGGCCCUGCUGCCUGUCCUACAGGCUUUGCUGGGUGCUUGCUGCUUCUCACCAACAGGCCUGGCGCUGCCAAGCGCGUGGUUCACACCUCCUCCGGGGCUCUGUCCCACCACGCUGCGGAGGUGUUACGGUCCCAUGCCUUCCAUCCCUGGGCCACAGCUGUCUUCCUUGUUCUGGACAUCAGGACAUGAAGUGGGGCUGCAUGGGCUUGUGGGUCAGAGCACAGGCUGCAACCUCUGUGUCUGUCUCCUCAUCCCUUCAAGAGGGAUCGCAGUCCCUACCUCAUAGAGUUUAGUGAAGGUUAAAUGAAAGCACUUAGAGGAGGACCUGGAAACGCAGAUUUAGAAUCAUCAGAGAGCCAGGUCAGCCUCCUGUGUUUACCCUCUUUCCUUGGGCCUCAGGAAUCUGACAGAACCAGUGAGCUUCGGUUGGGGCCUGCGAAGAGGGAGAGGUGCUCAGCUCUCCAGAUGGACGGCCCCACCUCCAGGCCUUGCAUCUCCAGGCCCAGGGAGUCUCCUCCAUUAGUUCCUUGGCGUCGGGCACCCUGUCCAUGCUGGGGACCUGGGCUCUUUUAUUAAACUAGAAAGCACAGGGGUUUACAGGGAUAUGCCUUGUCCCACCUUAGAUCUGAAUGAAAGCUCCAAAGAGGUUCCACUUCCGUUUAAUGGAAGUAAGAUCUGGAGGGAGAGUAUGGAAUUUCACCUUAUCAAAAGGAAAUUUCCAGCAGAGCCAGCCAAAGAUAGAAUGAGAGAGGCUAAUGUCGGCAAGGGGCAAGAGUUCAUUGGGAAAGUUGUUGGAAGGACUCUGGCAUUAGGUAAACAAUAGGCCAAGGUGUCUUUAAGAUUGCAUUCUAUUCUAAGGCUCUGUGUCUGUAAAAGCCACGUGGCUCAGCACAGCAUCUGGUUUGCUUCUUUGCUUGUUUCUUUAUGCCUUUAAAUAAGUUGUAGUUCUCUUUUACCAUCUUAGAGCAUGUUUAAACUUUAUGGCAGCAAAGCCCAGUGAGGAUUCUGAUUCUUAGUCCCUCCCUCCUGCCCAUCACCUCCUUCCUUGCUACUUCAGACUUUCUUGGCAAGGACCCAUCAUUCAUUCACCCAUCAUUCAUUCAGCGGAUGCCAGUCAUCUGCUGUGAACCAGGACAGGAUAGGCUGGAUGAGAGGAAAUAAUCUGGAUGAGAUGUGUUUCCUGCCUUCAAGGAUGUUUCAUUCUGGGAUAGGCAGACAGACACACAGGACAGAGAAAAGAAUUUCUUUUGUAAAAUAAUUUAUUUUCUGUUUGUGAGUAUCCAAAUGAUAUUAAAAGUACAUGAUAAAGUAGACAUCAUCUGAAAUCCUGCCCCUCUGAGACAGCCACCUUUGUGUGUUAACUGUAUGUCCAUAUGACAAAACAGAUGUAAACAAAAUGAUGGGAUGAUGCCUUAGCACUGAACAGAAGAUUCGUAUUGGAUAUGGUAAGUGCAAUGACGGACUAAAAACAUAGGGCAUUAUGGGAGUCCAGAAUUAGACUGGGGGUGGGACGCUUUCAGAACCUGAAAACAUUCUAGAUCCUUUUUCUUCCCUCUUUCUGGACAUCCCAGUUCUUUUUUCUUCUUUUGAGACAGGAUGUCACCCUGUCACCCUGUCUUGAGUCUUGAUGUCCUGGGCUCAGGCAACCCUCCUGGCUCAGCCUCCAGAGUAGCUGGGACUGCAGGCACAUACCACUAUAUCCAGCUAAUUAAAAGAUUAUUUUGUAGAGUGGGGUCUUGCUAUGUUGCCCAGGCUGCAUCCCAGUUCUAUGGUUUCCAGCCUAGUUCUCCUGGUCCCCUCAUUGCUGUUUCAGUUGUCCCUGUUUAGAAAAAUGGACUUACCUCUUCUCACUCAAAUCAAAGAGCAAAUUUAUUCCUUGAAGCAAUACAUGUUUGAAACAUACAGAUAAAGAAUAAGGCAAUAAAUGUUUGAAACAUACAGAUGAGAAUGAAGAAUAAAAUCCCACAUACCCGUGACCCAGCUUCAUCAAAUCCUAAUAUUAAGCCAUAUUUGCUGGAGAAUUCUUUAAAAGAAAUUACACAUUACAGAUACAUCUGAGGCCUCCUUUGUAUCCUUCUGGGAUCUUUUCCUUUCCCUCCCUCUCUCCACAAAGGGGAUCAUUCUCAUGAAUUCAGCCUUCACCUUUUCCAUUCACAUUUUUAUAUUUUUGCCACAUAGUCUAUGUAUCCAUAAAAAUUAUGAAGCAUUGUUUUGCCUCUUUAAAAAAAUUUAUAUAAAUGGUAUCUUUGUUAUAAAUAUGUCCCACUGUAUCUUGGAUUUUUUUGUUUUUUGGGUUUUUUUCUCAACAUUCUUUCUGGGAUUUAUUCAAAAGUGAUAGAUGUAGCUCUUGUUCUUUCAUUUUAAAAUGCCAUUUGGUGUUCCAGUGUCUGAAUACAACCCAGUUGACUUAUCCGUUCUUCUGUGCUGGGCAUUAGGUUAUUUCCAUUUGGGGGGACUUGUUUUGUUCUGUGUCUGUUAGGUACAAUCAACAUUCUUGAACAUGUCUUUUUAGGCUCAUAGGUAAGAAUUUCUUCAGGGAAUUUACAGAUUUAAAGUGGCAGAUCAGAGAGUAUGCACAUUUUCAGCUGAACUGGAUAUUGCCGACUUGCUCUGCGAAGUCCUACAAAUGUGUCCUCCUAUGUGCAUUAUGGGAUUUCCUGUUUCUCUCCUCUUUGCCAACCUUUGCCUGAUGAGUGUUUUGAUGUUUUGCCGGUCUGAUGGGUCUGAGGACUUUUCACUGUUGUUUUACUUUUCAUUUUCUUCAUUGCCAGAGACAUUGUACAUCUUUUCAUCUGUCUGUUAGCUACCUGGGUUUUCUCUCCUGGGAACGCUCUUCCUGUUGAGACAGCCAGGUAGGAGAGGGUUCCGGGAGAAACUCCAUUUGCAGCUGGGAGGAGGCUGGUGCCUCCUCUUGCUGUGUGGAACCUGGAAUUCCAGCGCUGUAGCGGGGACUCUGGCCUUGUGGAGUCACCCACCCUUUCCUUUUCACCCAAUACAACUCUCGCUUACUCACCAUUCAAAUUGUCCACAAGCCUGAAUUUUCGUGGCGGUAGGACAGAGAACCCCAUCUUUAGCUGAAGUAAGGAAAAGUCCUGCAACACUGUCUCUGCCCAUUUGUCCCAUGAACGUCACUGGCAUCUUCCCCGGGAGAAGGAGAAAGCAGCCCCUGGCAUCCAGGAGCUGGUCUGGGACCGCCAGCAAGGCCUGUUGAACAACAUAUUUCUUUUUUUUUUUUGAGACGGAGUCUUGCUCUGUCGCCUGGCUGGAGCACAGUGGCACAGUCUCCGCUCACUGCAACCUCUGCCUCCUGAGUUCAAGUGAUUCUUCCAUCUCAGCCUCCCAAGUAGCUGGGACUACAGGUGUGUGCCAAACACUUGGCUAAUUUUGGUAUUUUUAGUAGAGAUGGGGUUUCACCAUGUUGGCCAGGAUGGUCUCGAUCUCUUGACCUGGUGAUCCACCUGCCUCGGCCUCCCAAACUGCUGGUGAACAACAUAUUUCAUACAGCAUCAACAUCAGAUAAGGUCACACUGGGACCACAAUGGCUUAAUACAAAAACAAGACCCCUCUCUGAUGAUGCUGGAACAUAAAUGAUACAGGAGCAUUGCUGAAGCCACAGGACACCAGGCAUACCCCUGUGGUAGGUAGAAUUCUAAGCUGCCCCCAAGGUUUCUGGCCCCUGGUGUACCCGCACCUACCCCCAAUUAGCAAACAUUACUCUAGCUACUGAUAUGAAGGGAAUUGACGGAUGUAAUUAACAUUCCAAAUCAAUGGACCUUAAAAUAGGGAAAUUAGGCCAGGUAUGGUGGCUCAUGCCUGUAAUCCUAGCACAUUGGGAGGCUGAAGGGGCAGAUUGCUUGAGCCCAGGAGUUCGAGACCAGCUGAGCAGCAUGGCAAAACCCCAUCUCUACAAAGAAUACAAAAAAAUUAGCCAGGCACAGUGGCACAUGCCUCUAGUCCCAGCCUUCAGCCAGAUGGAACAUGGGGACCUCAGUCCCAUCGCUGCUAGGAAAUGAAUUCUGCCAGCAGCCAGUGCACCUGGAAGAGGAUCCAGGGCCCAGAAGACAAUGGCAGCCCAAUGCAGCCCCAGCCCAGUGAGAGCCUGAGAGAGAAUCCAGCCGUGCCACACCUAGACUACAGACCUGUAGUAGCUUCAGAAAUGGGGAGAAUACUUUGGUGGUGUUUUAUGGCACUAAGAUCAUGGUAAUUUGCUACAAAGAAAUAGAAGACGAAGACAGCCUUCUCCCAGACACUGGGAGUGAUCACUGCAUCUUUGCCACCCACAGCUUUAGCCUGAGCCUAGUUUCCCUCCUCCUAGGUAAGAGGCAUUAAGAUGCUGUGUCACGGCCAGUUGUGGUGGCUCACACCUGUAAUCCCAGCACUCUGGGAGGCUGAGGCGGACAGAUCACCUGAGGUCGGGAGUUGCAGACCAGCGUGACCAACAUGGAGAAACCCCGUCUCUACUAAAAAAAACAAUUAGCUGGGUGUGGUGGUGCAUGGCUGUAAUCUCAACUACUCAGGAGGCUGAGGCAGGAGAAUCACUUGAACCCGAGAGGCAAGGGUUGGGGUGAGCAGAGAUUGCAACAUUGCACUCCAGCCUGGGCAACAAGAGCAAAACGCCAUCUCAAAAAAAAGAAAAAGAUACCUAGUCACAGUGCUUCCCCUGCUUCCUGACAGCAUCCAUUCCUGAGCAAAGCCCCGCCUACUUAAGUCUUCCUCAAACCACCUAACACAUGCGCAAACCCCUGAACACCUUCUUAUUGGGACGCGCCACGCUCCUGAUGCAGUGUGUUUUCCUGGCCUGCAAUGUGUGAUAAACUGGACUUGAUCAGGUGCCUGUGUGUUCCUGUGGUCUCUGAUGGGAGAAUCAGGACUUCCUGCAAGGUGAGUACCACAGGCCCUGGGGGAAAAAGAACUGAACUGGACCUUUGAACUUUACAACUAGCGUUGGCACGCACUGGCCAUGUCAUACGAUGGAGUCACCUACGUUUUGGGAUCUUAGUUUUUUCACCAGUAGAAUGAGAAGGCGGGGCUGGGUGAUCUGUGAGGAAGCGGUGUGGUGGAGUGGAGAGACCUCUGGAGUCAGCCAGUCCUGGGAUUAAUCCUCCUUCUGCCCUCCCCAGCCACGUGGCUUUGGGUUAACAUUCAUUUUCCCCAGCCUCAGUUGCUUCUUCUCUCAACAGGUACCAAGGAACCAAACAGGUUUGCUGUGAGGAUUAAAGUAAAUGCAAGUUUCUUGAAUGACACAGACAGUUCUAAUAAUAUCUAGAUAAGCAAUUUAAAGACACACGAAUGUAUAACUUAUAAGUAUUUUGACCUCGGAGUGUGUUAAUCUUAACUAGUGCUUGUUUAUUUUGUUUGUUUUCCUUGUUUCUUUUUCUUUUUCUUUUUUUGGAGACAGCAUCUUGUUCUGUCACCCAGGCUGGAGUGCAGGGGCCCAACCGUAAUUCACUGUAACCUGGAACUCCUGGGCUCCAACUAGCCUCCUCCUGAUUCAGCUUCUGGAGUAGCUGGGACUAUAGGGUGUGCUAUCGUGCCUGGCCAAUAUUUUAUUUUUUUGUAGAGAUGGGGUCUUGCUAUGUUGCCCAGGCUGGUCUCAGACUCCUUGCCUCAAGUGAUCCUUCUGCCUCAGCCUCCCAAAGCAUUGGGAUUACAGGCACAAGUCACCUCACCUGAACAUAAAGCUUGUUCUGAUUACCUUAAGGUAUCAACCAUUCCGAGUAUCUACCGCCAGGAUGACGUCACUCACGGUAUGAUGCUGGUUCCGAGUAUCUACCGCCAGGAUGACGUCACUCACGGUAUGAUGCUGGUUCCGAGUAUCUACCGCCAGGAUGACGUCACUCACGGUAUGAUGCUUUUCAGGGGCCGGCUGUGAUCAGCUGUCAGAGGGAACUUCGUUUUGCAAGAAACUCUCUUUCUGACUUUGACUUUGGUCUUGUUUUCAAAUUCUUUUGUGCGGCGAAGUCGGGAACCUGAGCUGACCCACUGGCAACACAAACACUGCCCCAUUCUGAGGUCUUGGGGUUAGGGCUUCAGCAUAGGAAUAUUCCAGAAAACACAAUUUCCCAUAGGGCUUGGUUUAGAUAGUGUUGGAAUUCAUGCUAGGCAUAACUGAUCUGAGAAACAUUGAGUUCUGUAGAUUAACUGAGCUAUGUGGAGUAAAGGCUAGGCUGACGUAACAAGGUGACCCAGUGACAUUUAGUGGCUUUAAGACAAAGAAGUUUAUUCUAGUUUUUUUUUUUUUGAGACAGGGUCUUGCUCUAUCAUCCAGGCCAGAGUGCCAUCAUAACCCACUGCAGCCUCCACUUCCCAGGAUCAAGUAAUCCUCCCACCUCAGCCUCCUGAGUGCCUGGGAUUACAGGUGCACAUCACCACACCUGGUUAAUUUUUUUUUUGUACAGACAAGCUUUCACCAUGUUGCCCAGGCUGGUCUUGAACUCCUGAGCUCAAGUGAUCUGCUUUGGCCUCUCAGUGCUCGGAUUACAGGUGUGAGCCACCACGCCUGGCCAGAAUUUUAUCCUCUCAAGUUUAGGUCCAGGUUUCUAUCUUAAACCUCACCCAGGAGCCCAGGCUAGUGGGUGCCAUCCUCAACAAAUGACAUGAGAGUUACACAUGUCGCUUUCACCUACAACCCAUAGGUUAGAUCCAAGCCCCAUGGGCAUACCUGGCUGUAGGAAAAAUUGGGAGAUUUUUUGGAUUCAACCCUGCAUCCAAAAAAGUGGGAAGGAAAAACUGGAGGCCACCUGGCUUGGCGGAGUCUGCCCCAUCUGAUUCUUUAGUAGUCCUAGAGAAAAAUACACCCGGGUUAAGCUCCAUAUGAUUUCCUCUGCUUAUUUAUUAACUUUUUCAUUUGCUCCCAGGAGUCAUCUGUGAAAGAUAAAUGUAUCCUGUUCUUCAAGGAAAGCCUUGGUUGGAGAUUGAGGCUCUUGAUGGGAGGGGACUUGCCAGGAGACAGAGCUUAAGACGCUGGCUCUGCUAUGGAGGUCUGGAAGCUAAUUGAGCAGAAACAAGGAGACAUGGUCUUUGCCGUAGCGGACAGCACACACACCUGACUUGCUCUGGAAGGAGAUGCUCUCUAUUUACCACUGGUUUUCACCAGACAGACAUCCUUGAAAAGAUACCCUGGAACUAAGGGCUCCUUCUCAAGCUGUGCAGAAACGUGAGCAGCUCAUGGGUCAGUGUCUCCCAACAGGAAUUCAUCAGUGAGCUAUACAGGCUUGAUCUCUUCUGCUCUCUGCAAGCUGACAUUUUAGUUGGAGAUACAGGACUUUGCAUAAACAAACUCAACAGAUUGUCUUUGGUGCACUGAAGGAGAACACAAGCAUUAAGGUGAGACUAACCCAGGAAGACGCUACUAAGAUGGGAUGGUCGAGUGAGGCCUCUCUCAGGGGAGAGGCAAGCAAAGGGUACCAUGUGAUGAUGAUCCCGUCAGGGUCACUGCCUGAGACACUGAUCACACCUGUGGGAGUCUGUCCUGCAAACUCUGACUCCAGGACAGAUGAAUAAAUGCACUUACACACAAAGUCCAGUGAACGAGUGGGUUAGGGAGGUCAUCCGCUGCUCUCAGAGGGCAAUUGCAGCUACCCAGCCCCUCAAUAGCUGUCCUUCCUUGCAUUUAUUCAGUAUCAAUUUAAUAACAGAGGUUCUAAUUCAACACACUUGUGGAUCAUUAACAGGGUUAAAAGAGUGGUUUUAGGAAUGAUGAAACGUUUGGUUCUGGGACCCAGAGCCAACACCAUAAACAAGUAAUCCCCCUCCUGCUGGUCAACCUCCCCCUGAGAGGACCACUCGGCACCAAGUUUAUGUGAGUAAACAAGCUAGUUAGAGCAGAGACAAAGGACUGUGGGGUACACUGACUUAAAUGGGGAAGCUUCUAUUAUCCUUAAUCUUCACCUUAUGACCUAAUGCUCUAAGGUAAGAACUGGCUGCAUUCAGCCUGUUCCAUUAUUACAAGUUGAUGAAAACCUUUCAGCCUUCUAAAAGGUUUGAGACUGUAUCUUAUAACUUUCGGUAAUAUUUCCCUUAAUAUUUUGCCACCCACUCUGAGUGAAUCCCAGCAGUACCGCUGGUGGAAGCACGCUGCAGGCAGUAGGAGCUGCCUGCAUGGCUGUUCAGAGGCACAGAGAGCGUGGUGCGUGUGGGAGCUGAGAGGCCAGCGGGUCCAGAAAGCAGCGAGCUGGGGAAAAAAGAGGCUUGAGGCCUUGCAGCCAUGAGAGGUGCCAAGACCCCAGCCAAGGUGGGGCUGCAGAUUCCUUCAGGAUGGAAAGGAAAGGGAAGGAAGUGGCAGCUGAGCAAUUUGGACUUCACCAUGGUUUGCAAGUCGUCACCCAAGGGAACUGGAGAUGGCAUUCAGCUUGAAAGUUGUGUCAAGCAGGCAGCCUCUGGGGAAAGCAGCCAAUGAUCUCAUGCUUUGAAAUCAAGCAGACUGAACUCAGUGUGUCUGGACCCUACACGUUUCCUCUGAGGGCUUGAUUUGCAUUGAUUUGCAUCAGACCUGUAGGCUUUGUGGCGGAUGAAGGUGAACAGGCCAUUAUGGGGCCAGUCUCAAGCUGGGGACUUCUUGGAGGGCUCCCAUUGAACUAAAAAUAUGUACAGAUUUCCACACUUUGAGCCAUAGCACGUCCACGUUUUGUUUUAAUAUCCGCAUGCUUUAAGCUGUGUCUCUGGAGUACAGCUGGUCCUGUUGGCCUUUGGCUUCGUGUACGUGGACUCGGAGGCAUGUAUGCCCCGGCCUGAACUUCCAUCAGUUCUCGGCUUAACCUCACAUCCUCCUUGAAGCCUUUGCUUCGCCCCACCCCACUCCUGCCCCUCAUGAGUUCCUGUGAUGUCCUGCACUUCUCCUUCCUGAGACGACAUAGUCAUGCUGGUCUAUCUUCUAUUUUAUUUGAUUAUUGUUUUCAGGGAUUGGCGGUAGGUAGAAAUUGUGCUGAUGGAAUGUCUGUUUUUCUCUGCAGGAAAAGCUCCAGGAGGGUGGGCGGUUUGUUCAACUUGAUCAUGCUCUGAAGGUUCCCUUUCCUAAAACAGAAGCAUCGACCUGUUGAUGUUAUCUUUGUUUAUUGUCUUAGGGCCUGGUCUGUCUCAUUGAUCUUCAGACCCCAGCGGAGAAUCAUCACCUCAUGACCUUGGGAGAGAGGGCACAGGUGUCGUGAAAGGGGCAGGUGACAGUGACAGACUCACGUGCAUGUAUGUAGGUCUCAGCUCCCCCCUCACAAUGUGGGGACCUUGGCCAAGUCUCUUGGAGCCUUCGUUUAUGUGUAAAAAAAAAAUAAAGAUAGUCUAAUGAUGCUUUGGGGAUCUCUGUGGGAGUCAGGCGAGUUAGUAAUUGUAAAGUGUGUGCUUGGUUUUGCAGUCUUGCAGCAGCCGAUGUCCCCUUCUCCCGUCUUACGGUUUGUGGGCUCCUUGUUUGGGGGGCGUUACGAUGACGCUUCUGUCCUCAUCCUGCAGAGAGGCUUCACCUGCCAGAAUCCAAUUUCUUCAUCCCCAGGGACCUCACAAUUGGCCACUGUCUCUCAGCCCAUAUUUUCCCCUAAGGGGGCCAAUUUUCAUAUCCUUCAAAGACGUGGAAAUUAUCUCCCUACGAUUUGGGGGACCCCUACAUGAAGUCUUGUGUCGUCACAACCUAAGGGGAGUAUUUUCCCUGUGGGAGGUGCCCUAGCAGCUGUCUUGAAGAUAGUACUGAGUGGGCCCAGUGCAGUGGCUCAUGCCUGUAAUCCCAGGACUUUGGGAAGCCAAGGAGGGCAGAUCCAUUGAGGUCAGGAGUUUGAGACCAGCCUGGCCAACAUGACAAAACCCUAUCUCUACUAAAAAUACAAAAAUCAGCUGGGCAUGGUGGUGCAGGCCUGUAGUGCCAGCAGUUUAUGAGGCUGAGGCAGGAGAAUCUCUUAAACCUGGUGGGGCAAAGGUUGCAGUGAGAUCACACCAUUGCACUUCAGCCUGGGAGAGAGUAAGACUCUGUCUUAAAAAGGAAGGGGAGGGGAGGGGAGGGGAGCAAAGGGGAGGAAAGAAAAGAAAAAAAGGAAAAUAGCACUGAGGUGUAAGGAGUGACUGGCUUCAGUUUCUAUUUGUUUAGUAUUUUGGCUCAGGAGGCACAUGCUGGUGAGUCUAGUGCUCUCAGUCACUCUGUGAGCCUGGGGUCAAAAUUAUCUUCAUUUUACAAAUGAGAACACAGGUUGCCCUUGUCCUUUCCAGGGGCCAGAAAUCGAUAGAGCCAGGUCCUCCGCCCCCAAAGCCCUGGCUCUGUGCUACACACAUGGUUGAUCGUGAAGCAUUGGCCUGAUGGACCUGGGGCUUGAAGAGGUGAACUGGCCUCAUUCCCAAGUUCAUCUGAUUGAGGCACAAAAAGCAUCCAUAGUUUCAUUCUGGACUUUUGAUGCCCUCUGCGUGGGUGGCUCCUAUUUCUGAAAAGCCCAGUGCUCAGGGCUGUCCCAUGAACUCAGAAGGCUCCUAUUGUCUUUGGGAAAGUGAGGUAGGGACGGAGUGAACUGGAGUCCUUUGCCACACUUUUCCUCAUAUGUUGCAGCUUCUCUGCCAUCCAGGCCACUCUAUGCACAAUUUUUUUCUUCUUGGCUGAAGAUGCUAGAAGAUUAUAUCAGCCAGUGUUCUCUAAAGAAACAGCUAACAAAAGAUACUUAUCUGUCUCUCCCUUUCUCUCUCUCAUCUGUCCAUCUAUCAUCAGUCUAGCGAUCUAUCUGUCAUCCAUCUCUCUACCUACCUACUAUCUACCUGACUACAUUUAUUUUAAGGAGUUGGCUCCCACUGUGUGGGUGCUAGCCAGUCUGAAGCUGCAGGGGAGAUUGACAGGCUGCAAAUUCAGGUGAGUUGAUGUUGCAGUCUUGAGUGUGAAUUCUGCAAAACAGGCUGGCAACUCGGGUGAGGUUUCUAGGCUGCAACCUUCAGGAGAAUUUCUUCCUCUCUGGGAAGGAAAUUGGUCUUUGCUCUUAAGGUCUUCAACUGAUUGGAUGAGGCCCACCCACAUUAUGACAGAUAGUCUGCUUCACGGGACGUUUGCCGAUUUAAAUGUAAUCAUAUCUAAGAAAUAACCUCAUGGCAACAUCUAGACCGGUGUCUGGCCAAACAGCUGGGCACCGGGGCCCAGCAAGCCUGACAUGUCAAAGUAACCAUCUCACGGUGAAUGUGGGACUCAGCCACCCCAGUAUCUGCGGCCACUGCCCAUGUGGGUUCUCCUUUCUCCCUGCCACCUGCUGAAAAAUUCACUAAUGUUUGGAUGACUCUUAACUUUCCUUUGUCAUUCCAGAAUAAUUCUGGGCACUGUCUCAGGCUUCCAUGCUCUUCUUGCCACCUCCACUUGCCCACCUGUCACCUAAGAGGCUAAGGCUGCUCUAAGUUGGACCGAGUAUUUGAAGAUGAAUCCCUCUCUUGGCUACACCUGUUCAAACUUUCUCCAUGGACUUUUUUUAGAAAGCCGGAACCAAGCAAAUCACCUUCACAAAACUUGUCCAAAUGCCAAGAAGGCAAGGGAAAUUUAGUAUUGAUUCGAAGUUUACGAUUAUGGCUAAUGUAUUCAUGGUAGAUGACAUUUAUGACACAGCAAAAUUGUACAUUCAUGUAUUCAUGAGCAUAUAAUGGAACCUCUGUUAAUUAGCACAUAUAGUGUAUUUAUUCCAAGUUUUGUGUAGAUUUUUCUGGUGAGUAAUUUAAGAACUGUUUUAUUGAUGGUGAUAUGGUUUGGAUUUGUGUCCCCGCCCAGAUCUCCUGUUGAGUGGGAGAAGGGGCCUGGUGUUGUUACCACAUGGAAGGUCUUGAGUGUGAGUUAUGCAAGUUCUUGGUGUGUUGAAUGAAGAAUUGAACAAAACACACAAAGUAACAAAAGAAUGAAGCAACAAAAUCACAGAUUUAUUGAAGUGAAAGUGCCCUCCCUAGAGUGGGAACAUGCUGGAACAAGCAGCUCCAGAGCCCCCAGUUGCGGUGUUCUUUAGGAUUUGCAUUAGGCUAAAAGAAUCUGGUAACACUUUGACGUGCCCUUGAGAGGCCCCAGCUGGUUACACCCUAUGAAGGAUUGGCCCGUGACCAAUCAGAGGCUGAAGUGGAGACCAGGCCUGUGGUCAAUCAGAGGCUGAAGUGGAAACUUCUGUCUUGUUAUCACAGGAGCCAGGAAGCGGCCUGUGUGCAGCUCACCCUUGCCUGGAACUGGCUGCACCUGCUGUUCUUCCACGUGUGCGUUAACCCUUGGUUACCCUAAUUCCCUAUUCUCCUGCCUCAGUGGGAGGUGAUGGGAUGGUAGGAGCAGAGCUUCCUCUUGCUGUUCAUGCAAUAGUGAGUGAGUUCUCGUGAGAUCUGGGUAUUUAGCCGUAGGAAAUACCUCUCUCUACGCCUCCCGCUUCUUUCCUGCUGCCGUAGGAAGAUGUGCUUGCUUCUCCGUUGCCUUCGGCCAUGACUGUGAGUUUCCUGAGGCCUCCUGGUUAUGCUUCCUGUUAAGCCUGCAGAACUGUGAGUCAAUUAAACCUCUUUUCUUUAUCAAUUACCCAGUCUCAGGUAGCUGUUUACAGCAGUGUGAAAAUGGACUAAUACAGAUGGGAUGUCUUCACUUUCAGUAUAUUUACGGUGCUGAAUCAAUUUCCAGUUACAAUGUUAUUUCCACGAGGGAAGGACAGGCUGUUUUAUGACGUGCUUUAUGAAAUAGUUUUUCCAGAGUUCAUCUUGGCCAGUGUGACAGUGACUAGUGGCCUUUGACCCCUGACCUUUUCCCUCCCCUCCUCCUCCUUCUGCUCCGCUAUGCCCCAGUGUUGCUAGAGGGUGGCACCCAGUUACCUCUGGUGCUGAGAGGGAAGUACAGAUGUCUCUUUUUAUGUUUAUAUCCUGAGAAUCAGGUUAAAUCUAUUAAAAUGGAAUGUUUGCUUUGUAAGAAGGAAUUUGUGAGUAUGUCUGUCUUGAACUAACCUGUCAAAAAUAACCCCUGCUUAUUUUGAAUGAAAAAGAGUCUUCAAACAAAUCCUCUAAUUUGACUUUCCAGCGAAAGCCCCAGGUACUGGUUUACUGAUUUAUUUGGAAAGUUUUCCAGU